AAAAAAUGACUCUCGGCAACGGAUAUCUCGGCUCUUGCAUCGAUGAAGAACGUAGCGAAAUGCGAUACUUGGUGUGAAUUGCAGAAUCCCGUGAACCAUCGAGUCUUUGAACGCAAGUUGCGCCCUAAGCCUUUGGGCCGAGGGCACGUCUGCCUGGGUGUCACGC
This 166-nucleotide ribosomal RNA is filed under the name Stephanodaphne cremostachya. Its description in RNAcentral is "5.8S ribosomal RNA". It matches the Rfam family "5.8S ribosomal RNA". Rfam says of the family: 5.8S ribosomal RNA (5.8S rRNA) is a component of the large subunit of the eukaryotic ribosome. It is transcribed by RNA polymerase I as part of the 45S precursor that also contains 18S and 28S rRNA. Lineage: Eukaryota; Viridiplantae; Streptophyta; Magnoliopsida; Malvales; Thymelaeaceae. The record is from RNAcentral.